AAGUCGUAACAAGGUAACCGUAGGUGAACCUGCGGUUGGAUCAUUAACAAUGGUUUUCAAACCUUAUACUGUGCACUUUUAUGUUCUUGGUGGUUUCUGUUGUGUCCUGAAAGGGGCACAUAGGGCCACCGCUCUUUGUAAAACACUAUCCAAUGAGUCUUGAAUACCAAGUAAAACAUUAAAACUUUUGACAACGGAUCUCUUGGCUCUC
Molecule: unclassified non-coding RNA, 211 nt
Filed under: fungal sp.
Lineage: Eukaryota; Fungi
Description: partial internal transcribed spacer region
Rfam family: Eukaryotic small subunit ribosomal RNA (bases 1-46)
Source: RNAcentral